RNAcentral lists this transfer RNA (85 nucleotides) under Felis catus (domestic cat). It matches the Rfam family "tRNA". Rfam says of the family: Transfer RNA (tRNA) molecules are approximately 80 nucleotides in length. Their secondary structure includes four short double-helical elements and three loops (D, anti-codon, and T loops). Further hydrogen bonds mediate the characteristic L-shaped molecular structure. tRNAs have two regions of fundamental functional importance: the anti-codon, which is responsible for specific mRNA codon recognition, and the 3' end, to which the tRNAs corresponding amino acid is attached (by aminoacyl-tRNA synthetases). tRNAs cope with the degeneracy of the genetic code in two manners: having more than one tRNA (with a specific anti-codon) for a particular amino acid; and 'wobble' base-pairing, i.e. permitting non-standard base-pairing at the 3rd anti-codon position. The record is from Rfam by way of RNAcentral. Lineage: Eukaryota; Metazoa; Chordata; Mammalia; Carnivora; Felidae.
ACCUGGGUGGCUCAGUCGGUCGAGCAUCUGACUUUGGCUCAGGUCACGAUCUUGCGGUUUGUGAGUUCGAGCCCCGCCUCGGGCU